CUGCAAAUAACUGCAAAUUGAAAGAUUGCAAACUAAUACAAAGACUACAAGGACACUCUAAAGAAGCAUUUCUUAUAUUUAACUUCUCAAUGGGCACAAAUAUGGAGGUCAUGCUGGCUUGCAAGUUUUCAAAAAUUGUCAGAGCUAACACAUAAGUUCUAGUGUGAAAUAAAAUCUCCUCAAGAGAAGACUAUAAGAUCCAAAGUACUUAUUUUGAUUUCCUUACUAUCUUGGAUACAUGGGAACUGAAUUAAAUAACAGGAAGCUACAGAAUAUGAACA
Molecule: long non-coding RNA, 281 nt
Organism: Zalophus californianus (California sea lion)
Lineage: Eukaryota; Metazoa; Chordata; Mammalia; Carnivora; Otariidae
Exons: 3
Source: RefSeq, a predicted model, not a curated record